UAUGGAGAGUUUGAUCCUGGCUCAGGACGAACGCUGGCGGCGUGCCUUACACAUGCAAGUCGUGCGAGAACGGUUCCUUCGGGAACCUAGUAGAGCGGCGAACGGGUGAGUAAUACGUGAGCGAUCUGCCCGAAGGUGGGGGAUACCCCAGGGAAACCUGGACCAAUACCGCGUACAGCGUCGGGAGUGGAUGCCCGACGUGAAAGCCGGCCUCUUCUAUGCUGGCGCCUUCGGAUGAGCUCGCGGCCUAUCAGCUUGUUGGUGGGGUAACGGCCUACCAAGGCAACGACGGGUAGCUG
RNAcentral lists this ribosomal RNA (299 nucleotides) under Gemmatimonadales bacterium. Its description in RNAcentral is "partial 16S ribosomal RNA". It matches the Rfam family "Bacterial small subunit ribosomal RNA", at positions 1 to 289 of the family's 1533-position model. Lineage: Bacteria; Pseudomonadati; Gemmatimonadota; Gemmatimonadia; Gemmatimonadales. The record is from RNAcentral.